Molecule: transfer RNA, 73 nt
Filed under: Actinomycetota bacterium
Lineage: Bacteria; Bacillati; Actinomycetota
Description: tRNA-Ala
Rfam family: tRNA
About the family: Transfer RNA (tRNA) molecules are approximately 80 nucleotides in length.
Source: RNAcentral
GGGGCUGUAGCUCAGUUGGUAGAGCGUCGCCAUGGCAUGGCGAAGGCCACGGGUUCAAUUCCCGUCAGCUCCA